Molecule: ribosomal RNA, 477 nt
Filed under: uncultured bacterium
Lineage: Bacteria
Description: bacterial SSU rRNA
Rfam family: Bacterial small subunit ribosomal RNA
Source: RNAcentral
GAUUAUGGCUCAGGAUUAACGCUGGCGGCGUGCCUAAUACAUGCAAGUCGAAUGGUAGCAAUACCAUGGCGAACGGGUGAGUAACACGUAGGUAACCUGUCUUUAAGCCGAGGAUAACCAUUGGAAACGAUGGAUAAUACUGGAUAGGAUAUUGAGAGGCAUCUUUUAAUAUUUAAAGAUUUAUCACUUAGAGAGGGGCCUGCGGCGCAUUAGCUAGUUGGUGAGGUGAAGGCUUACCAAGGCGAUGAUGCGUAGCCGGACUGAGAGGUUGAACGGCCACAAUGGAACUGAGAACGGUCCAUACUCCUACGGGAGGCAGCAGUAGGGAAUUUUCGGCAAUGGGCGGAAGCCUGAACCCGAGCAACGCCGCGUGAACGAAGAAGUAUUUCGGUAUGUAAAGUUCUUUUAUUAGGGACGAAAAGACAGAUUGACGGUACCUAAUGAAUAAGCUCCGGCUAACUACGUGCCAGCCGCUGC